RNAcentral lists this long non-coding RNA (1823 nucleotides) under Oryzias sinensis (Chinese medaka). Its description in RNAcentral is "lncRNA (ENSOSIG00000017619.1)". Lineage: Eukaryota; Metazoa; Chordata; Actinopteri; Beloniformes; Adrianichthyidae. The record is from RNAcentral.
AUGCUUCAAAUGUCCUACUGCUGGUUGGUAACUUCAAAUAUCUUACCCUCAACCCUGAAGUCUACAGCCCCCUACAGCCCCCUAAAGGAGCCCCUCCAGCGCCGGGAGGCAUGGGUGAGCCCAGUGUCAGGACCCCCAGGCCACAGGACAGGCGAGCUCCACCGUACCGGGCGGCAGGCAUUGGGGCCACCAGGUGCUGGACACAGAGACGAGGGCCAAGGACGAGGACAGGGCCCAGAGGGCCCAGGAGCAGCUCACCACCCAGCCGGGGCCUCGUCUCGGCAGGUCAGCCCCGGUGCCCGACCCAAGCAGUCCAAAGACCACGACAAGUUCAAAAGUUCCCAACCUGGGAAGGAAUGAGGAAGAGCGACCAGUCACCUUCAUUCAGGACAUGUGAGUAACAGCUACAGUAAAAUCCUGUGCGUCAAACAUCAGCAGGUUGUUCGGGGGGGGAAGCCCAGCCGCACUGUCUACAUUAGCAGCAACAGACCGUUGUGAUGAUGAAGCAUCGUGACUCCUUUUAUGUCAGACCAAGUCUCGUGUAAUGGCCCCCUCAUUAGUGGAGAGCAUAAACAGGAGAAAACACUACACGCAGACAUGAUGGGACUAUCCCUAAAGCAAGCGUUUGUUGUGGCUUUUUUACAAACCACAGGUUCAUAUGUGUGUUUUCCGGAUGCUCAUGUCACUGUGUGCUCUCUGCAGCAGGGAUUCAGAUGCAGCAAAGAUUUUAUAUCCUGUAUUCAAAGAAGAAAAAGUGUAUAGGAUUUGGAUUAGCAGUAGUGCUCCACGCAUUUAGAAGUUGUCAAAUUAGACAGAUUCAGUCAUCAAAAGGGCAUUCUGAUUGUAUGACGUACACAACAAUUUGCCAGUGUGGAAGCUAUACAAUAUUUAACAAAAGCAACCAAAAAAGGGGCAAAUAUGAAAGUUUAUUUCAGCUUUAAUCUGCAAUAUAUUACAUAGUUAAGAGGUUUUAGAAAAAGCUUUUAAAAAGCUGCUCCACGAGGACCUUUAAAUCAGCUUAUAAGAAAAAUUUACUACUUUAUUGAUCAAAUUGUGUGUUGCACUGUAUUGUAACUUGGAGGAAGGCACUAGGUACCGUGUUUCUUAGACUAUAAGUUGCUCCAGAGAAUAAGACACAGCAGACAAAAAAAUAAAUAUUUAUCACAUGUCAGAACUCUGUCUCUCUCUCUGGUCACCAGGUACCAUCUCCAGAGUUCUGACCACACUACAACCCCCAGAAACCCCAGGACAUACUUCCUGGAGGCCGCACACCUGACUUUCAUUCACUCAAUCAAUGGAUCACAGUACUCUUAAGCACUGCACUGAGCAUCACUCAGUGUGAAGUAUUGUUUGUGCCGCUCUGCCUUCUUUACUGGGCAUCAUAUCCAGGCCUGAUCUUCUGCUUUCCAGACCCUGUUCUGUUUUUGACUCAGUUUGCUUGCCGCCUGUCCCGCCAGAACCCAGACUUCUCCUGUUUCUCCUCUGAUGCUCCUAUGCCCGUUGUUGACUCCUGCCUGCCUGACCCAGAUUUAGCUUUGUGAACUUUUAGUUGAGCUAAUAGACCUGCUGCAUUUGGAUCCAGCCGUCUGCCUGUUCUUGUGAAAAUAAUAAAGAAAAAUAAUAAUAUAUAAGUUGGACACAAGAUAAAUUUAUUUCACAAAAUAAUGGAACAAGAACGAAUCUUGAACUUGAACUAAAGCAACUUGUUGCUUUAUGCUGCUUCAUGGUUUUACCCCCCCCCCUUCUAUAAUCACCCUCCUACCCCCCCUCUCUCUAUCAUCCCUCUCUCUUCUUCCCUCCUUUCCUUUUCUGUCCAGUCAAAC